UUACAAGAUGAAAAAGUUCUGGAGAUUGGUUGCGCAACAAUGUAUACAUACUUCACACUACUGAACUGUGCAGUUAAAAAUGGUUCAGAUGUGAAAUUUUAUGUUAU
Molecule: non-coding RNA, 107 nt
Organism: Ceratotherium simum simum (southern white rhinoceros)
Lineage: Eukaryota; Metazoa; Chordata; Mammalia; Perissodactyla; Rhinocerotidae
Source: RefSeq, a predicted model, not a curated record